CACCAGACUCCUACGGGAGGCAGCAGUGGGGAAUAUUGCACAAUGGGGGGAACCCUGAUGCAGCGACGCCGCGUGGGUGAAGGAGCACCUCGGUGCGUAAAGCCCUAUCAGCAGGGAAGAAGAAAUGACGGUACCUGAGUAAGAAGCACCGGCUAAAUACGUGCCAGCAGCCGCGGUAAUACGUAUGGUGCAAGCGUUAUCCGGAUUUACUGGGUGUAAAGGGAGCGCAGGCGGCACGGCAAGCCUGAUGUGAAAGCCCGCGGCCCAACCGCGGGACUGCAUUGGGAACUACCGGGCUGGAGUGCCGGAGAGGUAGGCGGAAUUCCUAGUGUAGCGGUGAAAUGCGUAGAUAUUAGGAGGAACACCAGUGGCGAAGGCGGCCUACUGGACGGUGACUGACGCUGAGGCUCGAAAGCGUGGGGAGCAAACAGGAUUAGAUACCCGAGUAA
This 449-nucleotide ribosomal RNA is filed under the name uncultured bacterium. RNAcentral describes it as "partial 16S ribosomal RNA". It matches the Rfam family "Bacterial small subunit ribosomal RNA", at positions 329 to 793 of the family's 1533-position model. The record is from RNAcentral.